This 464-nucleotide ribosomal RNA is filed under the name uncultured bacterium. RNAcentral describes it as "SSU rRNA". It matches the Rfam family "Bacterial small subunit ribosomal RNA", at positions 26 to 518 of the family's 1533-position model. The record is from RNAcentral.
AGAACGAACGCUGGCGGCAUGCCUAACACAUGCAAGUCGAACGCUUUUGGGGCUUCGGUCCCAAAGGAGUGGCGCACGGGUGAGUAGCGCGUGGGAACCUGCCCUGUUGUGGGGGAUAACCGAGGGAAACUUCGGCUAAUACCGCAUACGCCCGGGGGAAACUCCGGGGAAAGAUUUAUCGCAGCAGGAGGGGCCCGCGUCGGAUUAGGUAGUUGGUGGGGUAACGGCCCACCAAGCCUGUGAUCCGUAGCUGGUCUGAGAGGAUGAUCAGCCACACUGGGACUGAGACACGGCCCAGACUCCUACGGGAGGCAGCAGUGGGGAAUAUUGGACAAUGGGCGCAAGCCUGAUCCAGCAAUGCCGCGUGAGUGAUGAAGGCCUUCGGGUUGUAAAGCUCUUUCGCACGCGACGAUGAUGACGGUAGCGUGAGGAGAACGCCCGGCUAACUUCGUGCCAGCAGCCGC